This 497-nucleotide ribosomal RNA is filed under the name uncultured bacterium. Its description in RNAcentral is "partial 16S ribosomal RNA". It matches the Rfam family "Bacterial small subunit ribosomal RNA", at positions 28 to 507 of the family's 1533-position model. The record is from RNAcentral.
GAUGAACGCUGGCGGCGUGCCUAAUACAUGCCAGUCAAGCGAACGGACGAGAAGCUUGCUUCUCUGAUGUUAGCGGCGGACGGGUGAGUAACACGUGGAUAACCUACCUAUAAGACUGGGAUAACUUCGGGAAACCGGAGCUAAUACCGGAUAAUAUUUUGAACCGCAUGGUUCAAAAGUGAAAGACGGUCUUGCUGUCACUUAUAGAUGGAUCCGCGCUGCAUUAGCUAGUUGGUAAGGUAACGGCUUACCAAGGCAACGAUGCAUAGCCGACCUGAGAGGGUGAUCGGCCACACUGGAACUGAGACACGGUCCAGACUCCUACGGGAGGCAGCAGUAGGGAAUCUUCCGCAAUGGGCGAAAGCCUGACGGAGCAACGCCGCGUGAGUGAUGAAGGUCUUCGGAUCGUAAAACUCUGUUAUUAGGGAAGAACAUAUGUGUAAGUAACUGUGCACAUCUUGACGGUACCUAAUCAGAAAGCCACGGCUAACUACGUG